This 1243-nucleotide long non-coding RNA is filed under the name Homo sapiens (human). RNAcentral's name for it is "long intergenic non-protein coding RNA 2201". Lineage: Eukaryota; Metazoa; Chordata; Mammalia; Primates; Hominidae. The record is from RNAcentral.
AAUGGGAGACAGCCUCAGGAUGAAGCCAACACUCAGAGAAUGACAAAAUCAAAACUUGGAGAUUAACUGACCUCAUAUAGCAUUGCAUAAGCCCCUGAAUCAAGUUAUGCCUGAAGCUUAGUCCUUGAGCCUUCAACUACAUGAACCAAUAUAUUUCUCUAAUUAACCAGGACCUUUUUAUUGCAUUGGGCCCAUCUGGAUAUCCCAGGAUAAUCUCCCUACUUCAAGAGAGAAUGAAGGCAAGGAGAAUGUAAGAACUCAGAAGGCAAGAAGAGAAGCUGGCAUUAGAAUGCGGUUGAACAAGAGAAAGAGUUGGAGAUGCUGAGUUCUGGAGGCAGAUCUACCUAAGUCUAGAGCAUUUACGAUGAACUCAAAUCAAUACUAAUACAGCCUAAACUUUGACAGAUUUUGGGAUGUCUCUCCAUCCUGACAAUUCCAGAAUGCAGAGCAUGUGGAGUGAGUGUACUGCUUUGCUAAGAGUUCCAGACAUUCUCUGACAGGGGAGUUAUCAAGGCCCCAACUUUUUUUCCUGAGACUCAAGUUAGGGAAAUCUGUUGGGAUGGACUGAGGUAGCUCAGACCAAAGCCCAGUUGUAAGGAAAGGUAACAAAGCCAGUGGAAUAAACUGACUAGAUGCUUAAAAUUGGCAGAAGCAAUGCCUGAGGCCAGAAUUAAGAAGAAAACAAAGGGGGAUGGUGGUAGAACCUGACCUUCCCAGUCCUCCUGGGAGCUCAUGUAUACCUGGGGCAAUAGCUGUGUAAAUGAAUCAAAAUUUCUGUAACCUUGAGAACCCUGGCCAGGUUGGUGUGGAGCCAUUUUGAUCUGAAAAAACACUAAAGAAUGAGUAUUUCUUCUCAAGAACGAACACCACAAAGCCUUUCCUCAUCUAUUCAGAACCUCAUCUAUUCAGAACCUCAUCUACUCAGAAUUUAAAAACAUUAUUUAAGAAGAGACAAGGAAAAAAAGAUGGAGGGAUGAUUUUUGUGCCAUUUCAGGGUGACAGAAAAGGAAACAAGGAGAGCUGGAAUUGACCUGGAUCCUUGUGGGAAAUACUUCAGUGAUGGAUGGAAGCAGAGGGAGAAAGGACCAAAAUGAAGCCAGGAGGGACAAGAUGGCUGGAAUGUUUGGUUCUGAGGAUUCAUGAUUGUCCUUAACUCACACGGACUGAACUCUCGCUUGCCUGUCUUCCUGGGGCUUGUGUAAGAACAUCCUGCAGAAAAGUAUUAACAACGCGAGUGAUCUUC